This is a non-coding RNA of Rattus norvegicus (Norway rat), 3859 nucleotides long. The record is from RefSeq and is a predicted model, not a curated record. NCBI's taxonomy places the organism in Eukaryota, Metazoa, Chordata, Mammalia, Rodentia, Muridae.
UGUUUCAUAGAAUAUUUUAUUCAAACCAACACAGUCCCUUGUGAAAAUCUCACAGAUGAGCCAGGCCAUCAACUGUGGCUCUCUAAAUAAACCUUUCAUUUUAUUUUAAUUAGAUAUUUUUAUAUGAACCCAAAUAUAGAGAUCCCCAAAAAUGGAAGUAAGGGAAGUCUAUAUGAAAGGGCCUAUUUGGUCCAUACCACAGAGGGCCUCCCAACCUACAGCUUUACUUCUGAUCUGUGUCUGCCUGUGGCCCCAUCUUGCCUCUCCACCCUACAAAUGGUUUUCUUUUAAAAAUAUCCAUUUCUACUACCACUAACAUUUACAAAGUUCUGAGACAAGCCCUGAUAUGGUCACUGUAACUUCUCGAACACCAGCAGUCAUUCUAAACAUCUCCAUUACCCUGACUACACCUUCAUCUGCCCACCUUCCCCUCUCCUCCAAUCCAUCUGAUGACCAUUUCUUCCCUCUUUAAGCUCUUCCUGUACUCAUCUUAAUUCCUGUUUCAUCACUCCUAUCUCUGUAUCAUUGUAGCAACUUUCUAAAUGUCAGAAGAAAAUGCAACUUUAAGAAAAUAUGGUUACAUAUCCACAUUACAACGUGUCCAACCCAAACGCAUUACAUUCUUUUAAUACAAGAUGUAGUACCCCACUAACCAGGCCUUUAAAGAAAAGAAAAAAAAAAUCAUUCUUCUACUAAAAAACAAUAUUAGAGCAUGUUACUCAAUGAGCUUUACUCAUGAGCAGUGCCAAAAGAAUAAGUAGGGGACGACGACCACAAUUAGAAAGCAAUGUCUUUUGUUUGUGUCACUCUUAAAGGCAAAAGGGAAUAUGUGGAAAGAGGAGAGAGAAGGGGAGAAACAGCCGCUCCAAACUGUUCCUGUCACAUGCAUGUGCUCACCCUUCCUUAAUGGUGGAGGGGAUUCAUUAUCCCUAUCAAGAGGGAAUGAACAAACAUUUAGUCCUGAUAAGAUUUCUCUGCUAUUCGUCAAAUUCUUGAAAAGAUAUCAACUACAGACAGUCUCCGUCAUGGGAAGUUUGAGAAGGGGAUUUAACCACGUGCUAAAACGUCUAUCAAAGCCAGUCACGAUUCCGCACCAACAGACGCUAACCCCAAUUAGCCUCUUUCAAUCGGAGGGAUUAUCUUUCAUGUACAAAUUAAUGCACAUCUUGAUUUUUUUUAAGCUAUGGUGCCUUAUUUGUUUUGUGGAAACAUGAAAGUCAUUUUGAUAUUCAGACCAGAAAGAGUAAUUCUAAUUAAGCAAAUCCCAUCAUGUUACAAUCUUAUCUGGGAAACAGCAAUAGCUGGUGGUGCACCAACAAUUGUGGUAACAAUUGAGGUCACCAGAGACUUAUCAGCCCGCGGUGAGACAUCAUAAUUUUCUAGGCUCUGUAAGGAUGCAUGUAUACUGCUGAUAAUUCUAUGCUCAUGGCAUAGCUGCCUUCACACUAGGUGCUACGGAGAGUAUGAUUCCAGGCAGCUGCCACCCCUGAACUUGUUCUCUAGCAAUCCACCGGAGAUAGAAAGUGGACAGAGGGAAGUAGAGGAACCAAUGAAUCCAAGAAGCUGAGUGCAAAUAAAACACACAAAUAAGAGGCAAAACAUUCAAAAGGAAAUAUGGGGACCAAACCGAGGUGACUUUCACUCCAAACGUUUGUGCCCAGAGGACCGCUUAGGAGUCUUUAGUAAUCAACAGAAUAGCUGUUCUGAGGUCUGCAGUGCUAUUCACAGGCCCGGGUCAAAUUCAGCAAUUCGGUUGUCAAAGAGACGACAAGCCACCAACACAAGGCAGCUGCUGAAGAGCUGGAUGGACAUGGAUGGAGUUCAGUAUCCACUUCCAUUUUGCCUGGAGCAUUUACACCCCUCCUAACCAUUCACACAAAUCCCAAGAAGGAGGGAUUUGGUGAAGGCCCCGUGAUGAGCCAUGAUGGAGGCAGCCUUCCCUGGACAUUCCAGCUGUGCUAUGGUUUGAAUGUAGCCCGUCACUGCCAAAAGUCACAUGAGGAUUUUGUUUCCAGUGUUAGAGCCGAGACACGAUGAAGUUCUAGAGAGGGAGUAAGCUCCCUUCCCUGCUAACUUGAUUGGUUACUGUGAGAGGACUCUGCUGUACAGGGCUCCUGGUGCGUUAGCAUGCUGUCUCAAAACUCAACAUGAAAUAAGCGGGCAAGAUGAAAGACACGACCGAGAGAGAACUGUUCCCUUCGCCAUCGGCCACCUCUGAGAGGCUCUCCCUGUGCGCUGUGCAGCCAUCUCCGUCUUAGUAUCUGUCCCAGCUCUUCAGCUUUCCGCUGUGAACGGAAGUACCCUGAGACCCUCGCCAAGAGUCAGGAGAUCAUCUAUGAGCUAAACAAAGGUCUUUCCUUUUCAAGCCCUGUACCAGGCAGUGCGUUGGGUAGUCAUGACAGAGUGAGGCAGCCUAAAAGGUGCAGAAAGCAGCCUUUCCUGGUACAAUGCAUGCUACCAAACCAAAAGGAGACACACAGAAGGGAAAUUUUAUACGAUGAAUAUCCAAAAUGCUACGAGAAGACCAGGACUCCCGUGGAAAACUGAAAAGGAAAAUGAAUGGUGGGUGUAGCACGUUGGGCUUUGUGGUCUCCUCUGGCUGGACAGAUGGGACAGGGAAGUAAGAGCUGGAUGCUGGCUGUAUAAGAGGCUUCUGUGGUCAGACAUGAGAUCAACACAGUCUAGACAAAGACAUUCAAGGAGUGUGGCUCGGGAAGGGGCAGUCUGCGUUUGCUCUCAUUGGAAUAUGCUGUCAUGUCUUUGGUGAAAGGAAGACAGUGGGGCCGGAUCUACUGACAAGCACUGGAGCUACGAAGGCUCUCCCAGGUCCCUUUGGCAUCCUCAGCAGCGUUCUAAGGAAACCAUGUUCACCCUUCGUUACACACAGGCAUGAAAAUGGAACUUAAGUCACUCCCAGUGGCUUCUAGAGAGGACUGGGCAAGGCAUGAAUCACUCUGCGUUUACAUGCCAACAUCACCGGGAGACAGUAACUAGCAACAGAAUGCCUGGAUUCUCAAUCCUCGCUUCCCAUGGCUCCUCCUCUGCAUCCAGAUAUCAGGCAUCGAGACAGACUCUACAAAACCAGAACGUGGAUCAGAACACACCUGUACCUGAUCACUUAGGAAGAGACGUCCACGCGGAGGAGACUGCUCUGCCGACAGUGCGUCCACCAGACAGAAAACAGCUGUCCUUGGUCUGCCCUACAUCAUGCUACGCUGACACGGGAAGACACCAAGGCUCUUGUAGAGUAAGAGCAAUCAAGGUCUAUAUUUAGCGAGGGAAACAAUAAAAAACACGAUGUGACUCUGGUGUCCUAUUGUUUCUGGGUCAAAAAGUGGAGAGUAGCAAUUGCGGGUAGAAUUCCUUCAAAGUCAAUUUGCUAGAGAAGGAAGGAAGAGCUUUUAUCUAACUGAAACGUCCUUUAUUUAUCUCCUGGAGUCUUCCUCAGCCAUUAUACCUGAGCUGGAACACACACCCCGUUUUGUAUGAAGACAACACUGUGCUCCAAUUACAUACCUUGCAGCUUGAGUUAUGAGGGAUUAUGUGCGUGACCCUGGUUUGUAAAUUACACAGCUGUGCAGGCUCCUGUCUUUACUGAGCUGACUGUAUUUCCUGUUCCUUAUGAGGCACACGACUAAUCUCCAGUGGGGGAAAAAAUCACGUUGGCUCAGCCGACUCCUGCCACACACCUGUGUAGGCUUCACACUCAGAUGAGAGCUCCUCCAGCUGCCUUUUCCCAGCUCUUGAUAAGCACUUCAGAAGAGAGGCUGGCCCUUUCUUCACCUAGACUUUUAUGGCUAGAAGUUCCUCCAUCCCAACUCUGAACAAAUGUUUCUAACCUUCUAGUACUUACCAUCUG